This is a long non-coding RNA of Bactrocera oleae (olive fruit fly), 807 nucleotides long. RefSeq lists it as uncharacterized. The record is from RefSeq and is a predicted model, not a curated record. NCBI's taxonomy places the organism in Eukaryota, Metazoa, Arthropoda, Insecta, Diptera, Tephritidae.
GGUAUUUUUUCAUGUAACUGAGGCACCCUGUUUUGUUUUGCAAGAUUUUUAUUCCUGUCUCUUCAAAUUUCAUAAAAGUACUUGCUAUUUAAAUACAGUGGUAAUUAACUCUUGCUGCGUGGGAAGUCAGGUUAUUUAAAUAUUUUGUUGCAAAAUUAAUGAAACACGCUACAAUUUUUUUACUUAGAAUAGCCGCAUUGAUACAAUCGCUUGUUAGGGAGUCGUUGUCAUCCAUGGAGUUAUCAGACGGUAGUAAAACAAAAUCUAAACGUGCAACUCGUCGCACAUGCAAAUUCUAAGAAAGUUGAAAAACCGAAUUUAAUUGGGAGCAGCGAGGCUGCAAGAAUACCAUGGUGAGAUGCAUUGCUUGCGUGGUCUAUGCUUACAGUAGGAUCAUCCCGCGGCGGAGUGGAUUGUCCUGUUUGUUUUCCACUACUGAGGUCCACUCUUUUUCGCACUCUUUGCGGUUAGUGCGUUCUGCUGUCCCAGGAGAUUGCACUGAUGUUGUAGGUUGCUGCUACUUGAGGAGCUGUUGGUUUCCCCGAUGUUGUUGCUACUUAAGGAGCUGUUGGUUCCACCGUUGUUGCUGCUACUUGAGGAGCUGUUGUUGUCACCUUUGUUGCUGCUACUUGAGGAGCUGUGUAGGUGCGGUAGUCGCGGUACAGAUAUUAGCACUACAUUAGUUAUUAUUUAUUACGGCGAUCGCGACUGGCAGUUGGGCGCCAGUUAUUAUAUUUUAUGUUACGUUUUGCAAAAAAAUAUAAUUUUUAGGCCGAAGCCGUCUUUAUUGAAUCAAAGUGAAACUUA